AGUGAACGCUGGCGGUAGGCCUAACACAUGCCAGUCGAACGGCAGCACAGUAAGAGCUUGCGCUUACGGGUGGCGAGUGGCGGACGGGAGAGGAAGACAUCGGAAUCUACUUUUUCGUGGGGGAUAACGUAGGGAAGCUUACGCUAAUACCGCAUACGACCUACGGGUGAAAGCAGGGGAUCUUUGGACCUUGCGCGAGUGAAUGAGCCGAUGUCGGAUUAGCUAGUUGGCGGGGUAAAGGCCCACCAAGGCGACGAUCCGUAGCUGGUCUGAGAGGAUGAUCCGCCACACUGGAACUGAGACACGGUCCAGACUCCUACGGGAGGCAGCAGUGGGGAAUAUUGGACAAUGGGCGCAAGCCUGAUCCAGCCAUACCGCGUGAGUGAAGAAGGCCUUCGGGUUGUAAAGCCCUUUUGUUGGGAAAGAAAAGCAGCAGGUUAAUACCCCGCUGUUCUGACGGUACCCAAUGAAUAAGCACCGGCUAACUUCGUG
This 492-nucleotide ribosomal RNA is filed under the name uncultured bacterium. Its description in RNAcentral is "partial 16S ribosomal RNA". It matches the Rfam family "Bacterial small subunit ribosomal RNA", at positions 29 to 507 of the family's 1533-position model. The record is from RNAcentral.